RNAcentral lists this ribosomal RNA (436 nucleotides) under uncultured bacterium. RNAcentral's name for it is "partial 16S ribosomal RNA". It matches the Rfam family "Bacterial small subunit ribosomal RNA", at positions 29 to 507 of the family's 1533-position model. The record is from RNAcentral.
AACGAACGCUGGCGGCAUGCCUAACACAUGCAAGUCGAACGAUGGUCUUCGGAUCAUAGUGGCGCACGGGUGCGUAACGCGUGGGAAUCUGCCCUUGGGUUCGGAAUAACAGUUGGAAACGACUGCUAAUACCGGAUGAUGUCGAUAAGACCAAAGAUUUAUCGCCCGAGGAUGAGCCCACGUCGGAUUAGCUAGUUGGUGGGGUAAAGGCCUACCAAGGCGACGAUCCGUAGCUGGUCUGAGAGGAUGAUCAGCCACACUGGGACUGAGACACGGCCCAGACUCCUACGGGAGGCAGCAGUGGGGAAUAUUGGACAAUGGGCGCAAGCCUGAUCCAGCAAUGCCGCGUGAGUGAUGAAGGCCUUAGGGUUGUAAAGCUCUUUUACCCGGGAAGAUAAUGACUGUACCGGGAGAAUAAGCCCCGGCUAACUCCGUG